AGGGGCGUAGCUCAGUUGGUAGAGCGGCGGUCUCCAAAACCGCAGGUCGCGGGUUCGAAUCCUGUCGCCCCUGCCA
This 76-nucleotide transfer RNA is filed under the name Armatimonadota bacterium. RNAcentral describes it as "Armatimonadetes bacterium (sediment metagenome) tRNA-Trp". It matches the Rfam family "tRNA". Rfam says of the family: Transfer RNA (tRNA) molecules are approximately 80 nucleotides in length. Their secondary structure includes four short double-helical elements and three loops (D, anti-codon, and T loops). The record is from RNAcentral. Lineage: Bacteria; Bacillati; Armatimonadota.